RNAcentral lists this ribosomal RNA (465 nucleotides) under uncultured bacterium. RNAcentral's name for it is "bacterial SSU rRNA". It matches the Rfam family "Bacterial small subunit ribosomal RNA", at positions 30 to 490 of the family's 1533-position model. The record is from RNAcentral.
AUUGAACGCUGGCGGAAUGCUUUACACAUGCAAGUCGAACGGCAGCACGGGGCAACCUGGUGGCGAGUGGCGAACGGGUGAGUAAUAUAUCGGAACGUGCCCAAUCGUGGGGGAUAACGUAGCGAAAGUUACGCUAAUACCGCAUACGAUCUACGGAUGAAAGCGGGGGAUCGCAAGACCUCGCGCGAAUGGAGCGGCCGAUAUCAGAUUAGGUAGUUGGUGGGGUAAAGGCUCACCAAGCCAACGAUCUGUAGCUGGUCUGAGAGGACGACCAGCCACACUGGAACUGAGACACGGUCCAGACUCCUACGGGAGGCAGCAGUGGGGAAUUUUGGACAAUGGGCGCAAGCCUGAUCCAGCCAUUCCGCGUGCAGGAUGAAGGCCUUCGGUUGUAAACUGCUUUGUUACGGAACGAAACGGUACUGCCCUAAUACGGCAGGCUAAUGACGGUACCGUAAGAAUAAG